CGAAAGAUUGAUCUAGUUACUUAUUAGGAUGAUAUUUAAAAUAAUAUUAAUAAUAAUAAUAAUAAUAUAAUUAAUAAUUAUAAUAUUAUAUAUAUAUAUUAAUAUAUUAAUAUAAAUAAAUUGAUUAAAAAUAAAAUCCAAAUAUAAUAAAAAUAAUGAUAUAAAUUAUCUUUCAAUAAAUAAUAAAGAUUAUAAUAAUAUAUAAAUAUAUUAUAUAUAUUUAUAUAUAUUAUUAUAUAUAUAAUAGUCUUAACAAAUAAUUGUGCCAGCAGUUGCGGUCAUACAAUGAAGGCUAGCGUUAAUCAUAAUGGUUUAAAGAAUCCGUAGAAUUAAAUAAUAAAUAAUUUUAGAGUUAAUUAGUAAUAAUUAUAAGAAUUAUAAUAGUAAAGAUGAAAUAAUAAUAAUAAUUAUAAGACUGGUAUAUGUGAAAAUAUUAAUUAAUAAUUAACUGACAUUGAGGGAUGAAAACUAAAGUAGCAAAACAGAUUCGAUACCUGAGUAGUUUUAGUUGUAAACUAUGAAUACUUUCUAAUUAUUAAAUUAAAUAAUUAAGAAAAAUGAAAAUAUAAGUAUUCCACCUGAAGAGUAUAUUAGCAAUAAUGAAACUCAAGACAAUAGACGGUUACAGACUUAAGUAGUGGAGUAC
Molecule: ribosomal RNA, 646 nt
Filed under: Kazachstania kunashirensis
Lineage: Eukaryota; Fungi; Ascomycota; Saccharomycetes; Saccharomycetales; Saccharomycetaceae
Description: partial small subunit ribosomal RNA
Source: RNAcentral